CUGGCUCAGGAUGAACGCUAGCGACAGGCUUAACACAUGCAAGUCGAGGGGCAGCAUAGAAGUAGCAAUACGUUGGUGGCGACCGGCGCACGGGUGAGUAACGCGUAUGCAACCUACCUAUCAGGAGGGGAAUAACCCGGCGAAAGUCGGACUAAUACCGCAUAAAACAGGGGCACCGCAUGGUGAUAUUUGUUAAAGAAAUUCGCUGAUAGAUGGGCAUGCGUUCCAUUAGGUAGUUGGUGAGGUAACGGCUCACCAAGCCGACGAUGGAUAGGGAACUGAGAGGUUGGUCCCCCACACUGGUACUGAGACACGGACCAGACUCCUACGGGAGGCAGCAGUGAGGGAAUAUUGGUCAAUGGGGCGGGAGCCUGAACCAGCCAAGUCGCGUGAAGGAAGAAGGAUCUAUGGUUCGUAAACUUCUUUUGCAGGGGAAUAAAGUGCAGGACGUGUCCUGUUUUGUAUGUACCCUGAGAAUAAGGAUCGGCUAACUCCGUGCCAGCCGCGGC
This 509-nucleotide ribosomal RNA is filed under the name uncultured bacterium. RNAcentral's name for it is "bacterial SSU rRNA". It matches the Rfam family "Bacterial small subunit ribosomal RNA", at positions 19 to 518 of the family's 1533-position model. The record is from RNAcentral.